GGGGGUGAUCGGUUUCGACGGUGGUCGACACAUCAGGGGAAGCGGGUCGAGGAUGCAGGGUUAUCUCGUAAACGCUCCUUGCACAACAAUAGGUGCCAACUCCAAGAGCACCGACUUCGCCCUCGCCGCCUGAGCGAGCCUCGAAGUCCGUCAGCCUGAGGUAGUUUCCGACUCAGUGCCUGGCGUCAGCUAGGAAACUUGCUGCGUAGUCAUGUUGGGGGGCUGCGCGGGACUCUUACUCAACUGGGCCUGUCAGGGGACGUGUGCGUGCGAGCCCUGGGGCCGAGAAAAGCCGUAGCGCACUGCACCCGGAGAAGUCCUGGUCUCUCGUCAUCGGACGCGGGUUCAAUUCCCGCCACCUCCACCA
Intrasporangium oryzae NRRL B-24470 is the source of this 367-nucleotide non-coding RNA. It matches the Rfam family "transfer-messenger RNA". From Rfam's summary of the family: Bacterial tmRNA, also known as 10Sa RNA or SsrA, is named for its dual tRNA and mRNA-like properties. Lineage: Bacteria; Bacillati; Actinomycetota; Actinomycetes; Micrococcales; Intrasporangiaceae. The record is from Rfam.